This 459-nucleotide ribosomal RNA is filed under the name uncultured bacterium. RNAcentral describes it as "partial 16S ribosomal RNA". It matches the Rfam family "Bacterial small subunit ribosomal RNA", at positions 338 to 795 of the family's 1533-position model. The record is from RNAcentral.
CCUACGGGCGGCAGCAGUGGGGAAUAUUGGUCAAUGAGCGCGAGCCUGAACCAGCCAAGUAGCGUGAAGGAUGACUGCCCUACGGGUUGUAAACUUCGUUUAUAAAGGAAUAAAGUGAGGCACGUGUGCCUUUUUAUAUGUACUUUAUGAAUAAGGAUCGGCUAACUCCGUGCCAGCAGCCGCGGUACUCCGUGGGAUACGAGCGUUAUCCGGAUUUAUUGGGUUUAAAGGGUGCGUAGGCUGGCUGUUAUGUCAGCGGUAAAAGCACGGGGCGCAACCCCGGCGAGCAGUUGAAACUGGCGAGCUGGAGUUGGAGAGAAGUACGCGGGAUGCGCGGUGUAGCGGUGAAAUGCUUAGAUAUCGCGCAGAACCCCGAUUGCGAAGGCAGCGUACCGGCUCCACACUGACGCUGAGGCACGAAAGCGUGGGUAUCGAACAGGAUUAGAUACCCCUGUAGUC